Molecule: ribosomal RNA, 547 nt
Filed under: Aglenchus agricola
Lineage: Eukaryota; Metazoa; Nematoda; Chromadorea; Rhabditida; Tylenchidae
Description: eukaryotic LSU rRNA
Rfam family: Eukaryotic large subunit ribosomal RNA
Source: RNAcentral
CGGAUAGAGCCAACGUAUCUGGCUUGUAUUCAGCUGUCAUCAGGGUUCUGACUUGUCUGGCAAUCCCGCUUCUGGUUGUCCAUGGCGAGUUGUUGGGCUCUGGUGGUAGUGCAUUUGCAAGUGGAGUGCGCUGAGGUGUGUGGUGUAGCGAUUCGAUCUUCGCCUUGAGGACACUUGACUGUGAACCCCGGGCGUUGGGAAAAUUGUCUAUGCUGCAUUCCCGCCAAUGGGGAGGCGCUUGUGGAUUGGAGCUUGAUCGCGGGGAUUGCUUGUAACGGUCGCAUGCGACGCGUGCUCGUUGUCUUCGCGUUUGAGUGAGAUCCCCUCUCCGGUGAUCUCGGUGUAAAAGUUGGUCAUCUAUCCGACCCGUCUUGAAACACGGACCAAGGAGUUUAGCGUAUGCGCGAGUCAUUGAGUGUUGAAACUCAAAGGCGUAAUGAAAGUGAAUCGAAAGUGAUAUGCGAUCCCUUGCACUUCGGUGGUUGGGAGCAGCAUAGCCCCGUUCCAAUCGCUUGCGAUGGGGCGGAGGUAGAGCGUAUUCGCUGAG